Molecule: ribosomal RNA, 466 nt
Filed under: uncultured bacterium
Lineage: Bacteria
Description: partial 16S ribosomal RNA
Rfam family: Bacterial small subunit ribosomal RNA
Source: RNAcentral
ACGAACGCUGGCGGCGUGCUUAACCCCUGCAAGUCGCACGGAAAGGCCUCAGCUUGCUGGGGUACUCGAGUGGCGAACGGGUGAGUAACACGUGGGUGAUCUGCCUUGCACUCUGGGAUAAGCUUGGGAAACUGGGUCUAAUACCGGAUAUGAACUGCCUUUAGUGUGGUGGUUGGAAAGUUUUUUCGGUGCAAGAUGAGCUCGCGGCCUAUCAGCUUGUUGGUGGGGUAAUGGCCUACCAAGGCGUCGACGGGUAGCCGGCCUGAGAGGGUGUACGGCCACAUUGGGACUGAGAUACGGCCCAGACUCCGACGGGAGGCAGCAGUGGGGAAUAUUGCACAAUGGGCGGAAGCCUGAUGCAGCGACGCCGCGUGGGGGAUGACGGCCUUCGGGUUGUAAACUCCUUUCGACAGGGACGAAGCUUUUUGUGACGGUACCUGUAGAAGAAGCACCGGCUAACUACGUG